RNAcentral lists this ribosomal RNA (497 nucleotides) under uncultured bacterium. Its description in RNAcentral is "partial 16S ribosomal RNA". It matches the Rfam family "Bacterial small subunit ribosomal RNA", at positions 28 to 507 of the family's 1533-position model. The record is from RNAcentral.
GACGAACGCUGGCGGCGUGCCUAAUACAUGCAAGUUGAGCGCUGAAGGUCGGUACUUGUCCCGACUGGAUGAGCAGCGCACGGGUGUGUAACGCGUGGAGAAUCUGCCUUUGAUCGGGGUACAACAUGUGGAAACGAAUGCUAAUACCGCAUAAACACUUUAAACACAAGUUUUAAGUUUGAAAGAUGCAAUUUCGUCACUCACUGAUGAUCCCGCGUUGUAUUAGCUAGGUGGUGAGGUAAAGACGCAUCAAGGUGAUGAUACAUAGCCGACCUGAGAGGAUGGUCAGCCAGCUUGGGACGGAGACACGGCCCAAAGGCAUACGGGAGGGAGCAGUAGGGAUUCUGCGGCAAUGGACGAAAGAUUGAGCGAGCAACGCGGAGGGAGGAAAGAACGUCUCCGCGUCGGAAAACACUGUUGGUAGAGAAGAAAGCGGGUGCGAGUGGAAAGCUCAGCAAGUGACGGUAACUACUAAGAAAGGGACGGCUAACUACGUG